This 315-nucleotide ribosomal RNA is filed under the name uncultured eukaryote. RNAcentral's name for it is "partial 18S ribosomal RNA". It matches the Rfam family "Eukaryotic small subunit ribosomal RNA", at positions 1470 to 1796 of the family's 1831-position model. The record is from RNAcentral.
CCCUUAGACGUUCUGGGCCGCACGCGCGCUACACUGACCAGUGCAACAAGCAUCCGUCCUUGGCCGACAGGCUCGGGCAAUCUUUGAACGCUGGUCGUGAUGGGGAUAGACUUUUGCAAUUUUUGGUCCUCAACGAGGAAUUCCUAGUAAACGCAAGUCAUCAACUUGCAUUGAUUACGUCCCUGCCCUUUGUACACACCGCCCGUCGCACCUACCGAUUGAAUGGUCCGGUGAAGCCUCCGGAUUGGCGCGCACCUCGGUGCCGCCGAGAAGUUGGCUAAACCUUACCAUUUAGAGGAAGGUGAANUCGUANCA